GAUGAACGCUAGCGGCAGGCCUAAUACAUGCAAGCCGAACGGAUAUAUGUUUUUCGGAAUAUAUAUUAGUGGCGCACGGGUGAGUAACACGUACAUAACUUGCCCUCAAGCGGGGGAUAGCCUUGGGAAACUGAGAGUAAUACCCCAUAGAAUUAUUGGACGGCAUCGUUUGAUAAUUAAAACUACGGUGUUUGGGGAUAGAUGUGCGUCUGAUUAGCUAGUUGGUGAGGUAACUGCUCACCAAGGCGACGAUCAGUAGGGGGCGUGAGAGCGUGGCCCCCCACACGGGUACUGAGACACGGACCCGACUCCUACGGGAGGCAGCAGUAAGGAAUAUUGGUCAAUGGAGGGAACUCUGAACCAGCCAUGCCGCGUGAAGGAUGACGGCCCUCUGGGUUGUAAACUUCUUUUGGGUGGGCGAAAAAACGGGNUUUAUCCUGGACUGACGGUACCAUCAGAUAAGCACGGCUAACUCCGUGCCAGCAGCC
This 488-nucleotide ribosomal RNA is filed under the name uncultured bacterium. RNAcentral describes it as "bacterial SSU rRNA". It matches the Rfam family "Bacterial small subunit ribosomal RNA", at positions 28 to 516 of the family's 1533-position model. The record is from RNAcentral.